This 488-nucleotide non-coding RNA is filed under the name Solanum tuberosum (potato). RNAcentral's name for it is "Eukaryotic small subunit ribosomal RNA". It matches the Rfam family "Eukaryotic small subunit ribosomal RNA", at positions 1118 to 1634 of the family's 1831-position model. The record is from Rfam by way of RNAcentral. Lineage: Eukaryota; Viridiplantae; Streptophyta; Magnoliopsida; Solanales; Solanaceae.
GAGGAGUAUGAUUGAAAGGCUGAAACUUUGACGGUGGUAUGCAAUUAGGAGUGGAUCCUACGACUUAAUUUGACUUAACAUAAAGAAAUUUACUAAGUUUAGACAUAGUAAAAAUUAACAAGUUGAGAGCUCUCUUUUUUAUGGGUGCAUGAUCGUUUUUUAUUAGUUGAGUGAUUAGUCUGGUUAAUUUUGUUAACAAAUGAAACCUCAUCUUGCUAACUAUAUUUCUCAGCCAGCUUCUUAGGGGUGCUACGACCUUUUAGACCGUGAAAGUUUGAGACAAUAACAAGUUUGUUAUGCCCUUAAAUGUCCUGGAUCGCAUACACUCUACACAUAUGUAUUUAACGAGUUUAUAGCUUAGAUUGAUAAAUUCAAGUGAUCUUUAAAAUUUUAUGAUGAUGAAAUAAAUAAUUACAAUUAUUGGUCUUCAAUGAAAAAAAUUUAGUAAACGCAAAUAUAUGCCAUAAUCUAAUCUCCGACUUGACCCA